This 300-nucleotide unclassified non-coding RNA is filed under the name Funneliformis mosseae. RNAcentral's name for it is "partial contains 5.8S ribosomal RNA and internal transcribed spacer 2". The stretch from base 1 to 71 matches the Rfam family "5.8S ribosomal RNA", at positions 84 to 154 of the family's 154-position model. The record is from RNAcentral. Lineage: Eukaryota; Fungi; Glomeromycota; Glomeromycetes; Glomerales; Glomeraceae.
GUGAAUCAUCGAAUCUUUGAACGCAAAUUGCACUCCCUGGUAUUCCGGGGAGUAUGCCUGCUUGAGGGUCGUUAGAAGAAAAAUCGAAGCAUCGCUCUUUUUUUGAGGGUGAUCGCGUCGGAAUUGAGCCAUCUUUCAAAUGUUAAUUCAUGUCAAAGUAGCUUAAAAUUCAGCCAUCCGGUACGAUUAAAGCGUAUUUAAGAUCAAUUUUGAUUAAUAACGCGCGAUGACGUACCAUCUCAUGUAGUACGUUUGACCUGUGUCAUCAGGUUCAUUCGUAUACUAUACUCACACUUUUGA